RNAcentral lists this transfer RNA (150 nucleotides) under Candidatus Bathyarchaeota archaeon. RNAcentral describes it as "tRNA-Trp". The record is from RNAcentral. Lineage: Archaea; Thermoproteati; Candidatus Bathyarchaeota.
GGGGCUGUAGUCUAGCAGCAGCUUCACAUGAUGUGAACUGCUAGAAAGGUAUGACGACUGUAAGCGGCUUAAGCAGCCACCACCGUUAAGGGCUCCAGGAGCGUUGAGGAAACCCGUGGGUCGCCGGUUCAAGUCCGGCCAGCCCCACCA